CAACAAAUCAGGCUGGGUUAAGGCACCUGUGUGAACCGCCCGGCCACUGACAGGUGUCCCUCAGAGGCAGAAGGCUGAACAAUGCUGGAGGAACACCCAGGCGUCUCUCCUCCUCCCUGUUCCUUUUCAUGUGGGACUAGCCUCCUUCCUUAACUAGCUCUCUGCCCUUUCCCUUGACAAAAGCACCACACUAUUAUGUCUGCUGGUUUGUUUAUUCGGCCAAUAAAAGACAGGAGGUUGCGGUUGCGAUACUGUUCGUGUACAAACAAGUCACUCUUGUCGUGGACUGGAUUGAAAGGCGUGCAAGAAAGAGGCCUGUCGGAGUAGGCUUUCCUCCCUGGGAAUCAGUGAUUAGUCACAACCUGGAGCAGGUCACAUACCAAUGCAAAUUUACAGCAGACUUUUAGGUCAGAUCGGGAUGAAGCUCUAACUCUCCUCAUGCUCCACAAAACGGAGGUUCAGGGUCUGCUAAGAAUGAGUAUGACCGGUAUUGCAGACACAAACUGAGAGCAGGAGGGGGGGGGGG
This is a long non-coding RNA of Etheostoma spectabile (orangethroat darter), 526 nucleotides long. RefSeq lists it as uncharacterized. Lineage: Eukaryota; Metazoa; Chordata; Actinopteri; Perciformes; Percidae. The record is from RefSeq and is a predicted model, not a curated record. The transcript has 3 exons.